Molecule: transfer RNA, 68 nt
Filed under: Thaumatosmylus hainanus
Lineage: Eukaryota; Metazoa; Arthropoda; Insecta; Neuroptera; Osmylidae
Description: tRNA-Ala
Rfam family: tRNA
About the family: Transfer RNA (tRNA) molecules are approximately 80 nucleotides in length. Their secondary structure includes four short double-helical elements and three loops (D, anti-codon, and T loops). Further hydrogen bonds mediate the characteristic L-shaped molecular structure. tRNAs have two regions of fundamental functional importance: the anti-codon, which is responsible for specific mRNA codon recognition, and the 3' end, to which the tRNAs corresponding amino acid is attached (by aminoacyl-tRNA synthetases). tRNAs cope with the degeneracy of the genetic code in two manners: having more than one tRNA (with a specific anti-codon) for a particular amino acid; and 'wobble' base-pairing, i.e. permitting non-standard base-pairing at the 3rd anti-codon position.
Source: RNAcentral
AGGAUAAUAGUUAAUUAUAACAUUUGAUUUGCAUUCAAAAAGUAUUGAUUUUUAAUCAAUUUAUCUUA